RNAcentral lists this long non-coding RNA (2794 nucleotides) under Sus scrofa (pig). Its description in RNAcentral is "lncRNA (ENSSSCG00015073891.1)". Lineage: Eukaryota; Metazoa; Chordata; Mammalia; Artiodactyla; Suidae. The record is from RNAcentral.
ACAUGCAGUAUUUAUUCCAUAAUAUGUCUACAAAUGAUAUAUUUAAUAUGCUAUUCAAGAUGACUCUUUAAACACCUUAAGCAAUGAUUAAUUGAUCGAAUUGUCCCACAGAACCUUUCUAGAAAAUAGAAAAAGCAUAAUGAUAAAGAAAGAUGCAGGAAAAGAAUAUAGAGAAUGCAAAAGUGGGGAAGACUGCUCAGAAAAGAAUGAGUGGAAGGGAGAAUAUUGGUACCAUAACACUUAAUGCCUAAGAAAAAAAAUGCUGAAAAUUAGGAGGAAAACAAAGAGAAAAAAGAUACAGGAAUCAUACAACUUGAUUUUUUUCCCACUUUACAAUUUUUGCCUAAGAUCAGUCAUUCUUAGUACAGGCUGAACUUUUUAGCAGAGAGAAUAAAAAUGAUUAAAGAGUAUAUGAUUUAAAAAUAAGGGUAGACCACCCCGGCAGUAUAUUCUGCCGGCCACAUAAUUCAUAUUUUCACAUACAUUUGUUAAGAGUCAAAUGUCUAACUUUGUCGUAUUUUUACUUAUGACAAAAGCAAAAAUGUUCUCAUGUAUCGAAUUUCCUGGAUAUUAGAAAAACUGCAAAUAUAUGUGGAAGUAGUUGCAAAAAUUAUUUUAUCUCUGCAGCAGGUAGAUGCUGAGCUGAAAUUGGAGCCUACAGAAAUGUGCAGAGUUACUCUGAUUUAGCAAAGAGUUUCUGGAAAAUAUGCUGAUUUUCAUGGCUUAGUAAAUAUUUUUUUAGAACUUCUAAAGUGAUAUAGCUCAUAGUAAUGUAAUUAUGAACUCCUGUUUUGAAAACGUUCUUCUUUUUGCUCACAUAGUAAUUGCAAUAAAAGCAUGGAGAAAAAGCCAGAUGGAAGAAUUGUUUUAAAACAAGUAACCCACCAGUGGAUGAGAAGACACUACAACUUCAGUUAAUUCUAGCAACCAAAUAUAAGGUAUGGGAUUCAUCUACCAGCGUUAUUUUUAUUUCUUAAAAAAAAAAAAUCCUAAAAUUUCAGUCAGUAAGAGUUAAUUUAAAAUGUCAUUGCUUUUAUUUGAGAAAAACCUAGUCAAAUAUUUCCAAUGAUUUUUUUUUUUCAAGUUUUGGGUUUUUUGGUUUUGUGGCUCUUGUUCCUUUUCCUCAGUAUAAUAAUAUACAUUUGGGGAGUUCCCUUCGUGGCUCAGCGUGGCUCAGUGGUUAAUUAACCUGACUAGGAUCCAUAAGGAUGCCCUUGCUCAGUGGGUUAAGGAUCGGGCGUUGCCCUGAGCUGCGGUUUAGGCUGCCCACUUGGCUUGGAUCCUGCGUCACUGCCAGCACCUGUAGCUCCUAUUUGACCCCUAUCCUGGGAGCUACCAUAUGCCACGGGUGCUUCCCUAAAAUAGCAAAUAUAUAUAAAUAUAUAUAUAUUUGAGGGGGAAAAUCCAAUAAAAAUGGAUAUUUUAAUCAGAUCACCAAAAUCCUUGAGCGAGCAUUUUAAUUCUUCUUCACAGAUAAUUUCUAAGAUAGUACUGUUUCUCUUCUAUAUUCCUAAGCCAAAAGUACUGUUGGUUAUUCAAUUUUUUCUAAUAAUAGUUUAAAUAUAUAAGAAAUGAUCCCAUCAGGAAAUGAAUAUGAAAAAGAAAAGAAAUAUCCUUUAUCAUUAAAAUUUUCACAAGUGUAGUUUUUAGAGGUAGAUGGAAAAGCAAUAGUGGAGGACCAAAACGUGGAAUGGAAAAACUCUAGAUUUAAGGCAAGAAUAAUCAUUGUAGAAUGCAAAUCAGUUGUACCACUCUCUUGCCUAAAUUCUGUCAAUGGCUUCCCACAAGCUACAGUGAAAAGGCCAAAGCUCUUAGCAUAGUCCUGUCAUUUUCACUGGGGAGCUAUUCUGCUGCCCUAGAAGGCAUUCGGGAAUUAGUAAUGUAUCAGCGUUUACUGCUAUCUAAUACAUUAUUUAUUCCCUAACUCAGCAGCUUAAAACAACAUGUUUAUUACCUCCAUGAGCCUUUGUGGAUCAGGAAUCAGGAUGUUCUGGGUAGUUCUGGCUCUGAGGAAGUGGUCGCCAGUUGGACUCUUGGUCAGAACUCUGAUCAUCUCACUGGCAGGGCAGUCUGGUUCACGUGCAGUCACAGGAGGCUUCAUUUCCUGGGGCUGUUUAGAGGAUAUGGCAGCUGGCUUUUCCCUGAGCAAGAUGAGUGGGUGAGUGAUGUGCAUGUGUGUGUGUAUGUGUGUGUGUGUGUGUGUACAGUGGUGAGCGUAGGAAGAAUUUGGAUGAUCGGAGACCCUCCUGGAGACUGGCUAGCUGCCGAAAGUAAAAACACUUGUGGUUUGUCAUAAUGACUAGAGAUUCCCAUUAACACGGACAAAAACCAAGGAUAUUAAAAUCUUGUUCAAGAAGGAAUCCAUCAGGAAGCUGCCAGCAGUGCUGCCGAAUAGCUCUCCUGCGCUACGGUCUCUGUAGACACACUCCUGGCUCCAUUACACGUGGCUUCUUAAAGUUCCCUGUAAAAUCCUCUGCCUUCGACGUCCACAAAUCUUCCUUCUGACUUCAGUGCCUCUUCACCUUAGCAACCUUUCCAACUCCCUUUUUGGGAGUUAGUACAAAUUCCUUCAUCUGCUGGAUGCGUUCCCUGUUACGUUAAGCCAAUGAGCCCUUGCUUUUCUCAGCCCUAUUUUCAUUCUUGUGAUGGCACACUCAUGACACUGCUGUUAUUACCUCUAACAGCCCUUCUCCCCCAGGAGACUGUGAGCCCCUGCAGGAAUACGUUUUAUAAUCUAAAUCUCAGGGUCCCCAAACCUUACACAGCUCCCGCACAUAGGAAGCACUUCUUAAUA